This is a long non-coding RNA of Magnolia sinica, 613 nucleotides long. RefSeq lists it as uncharacterized. NCBI's taxonomy places the organism in Eukaryota, Viridiplantae, Streptophyta, Magnoliopsida, Magnoliales, Magnoliaceae. The transcript is spliced from 2 exons. The record is from RefSeq and is a predicted model, not a curated record.
CACCUGCAAUGGCCCACUAAUUUGAUGAUGGUGGUGAUCAACACGUGUAUAAGUGUGAUAUAAAGCAAUUUGAUCACUACAUGCAUGUUGUUGGAUUUUGUGUAGCCUAUUAUAUAAAUAUACAUAUACACCUGUAUAAAUUUAUAUUUAUUCGUUAAAUUAUAUUGAGAUUUUCAAAGUUUAAGUUUAUAUAUAUGGAUGUAAUUGUUUUAUGAUAAUAUAUGCAGAAAAAUAUUCAAAUUGGCUUGCACGAUAAGUUUAGCCUACAUUCAUUGAUUAAAAACUUAUUCCACUUCUGACAUGUGGUAAACCAAUGUGCAGCCAUAUGUUAUAGAAGUAAUAGAUACUGAAGUGAUCAAAAUGAGAUCUCAUAGAGAUGGAUAUUAACUUGAUUGGAUGGAUCCUGCAUGGUGAUCGAAUAACAACAAAUGCUUGAUCAUUUACUGAAGAAUUGAGCCAUGUAUAUUGCGACGCCAACUACCUACAGGUGAUGGAUCGAUUUUUGUCCAAUGGUCAUGUGAGUGUGCUAGUAUCAUAAGUAACUUUUGUAUCAUUAUUAAUCCAUGUUAUGUGAUAAGCUUGCAAUGAGGUGACACUAUGAUAUGUAUUCUCA